CCAGCAGCCGCGGUAAUACGGAGGGUGCGAGCGUUAAUCGGAAUUACUGGGCGUAAAAGCGCAUGCAGGUGGUUUGUUAAGUCAGAUGUGAAAGCCCGGGGCUCAACCUCGGAAUUGCAUUUGAAACUGGCAGACUAGAGUACUGUAGAGGGGGUAGAAUUUCAGGUGUAGCGGUGAAAAUGCGUAGAGAUCUGAAGGAAUACCGGUGGCGAAGGCGGCCCCCUCGGACAGAUACUGACACUCAGAUGCGAAAGCGUGGGGAGCAAACAGGAUUAGAUACCCUGGUAG
This 288-nucleotide ribosomal RNA is filed under the name uncultured bacterium. Its description in RNAcentral is "partial 16S ribosomal RNA". It matches the Rfam family "Bacterial small subunit ribosomal RNA", at positions 508 to 793 of the family's 1533-position model. The record is from RNAcentral.